GUAGUCCUAGCUAUAAACGAUGCAUACUAGGUGUAGGAGGGCUCAACCCUUUCUGUACCGGAGCUAACGCGUUAAGUAUGCCGCCUGGGGAGUACGCUCGCAAGGGUGAAACUCAAAAGAAUUGACGGGGGCCCGCACAAGCAGUGGAGCAUGUGGUUUAAUUCGAUGCAACGCGAAGAACCUUACCUGGGCUCGAAAUGUAGAGCGCGACAUCAGAGAUGAUGUUUCCCGAAAGGGGUUCUAUAUAGGUGCUGCAUGGCUGUCGUCAGCUCGUGCCGUGAGGUGUUUGGUUAAGUCCAGCAACGAGCGCAACCCUUAUCGUUAGUUGCCAGCGCGUAAUGGCGGGAACUCUAGCGAGACUGCCUAGGUUAACUAGGA
This 378-nucleotide ribosomal RNA is filed under the name uncultured bacterium. Its description in RNAcentral is "bacterial SSU rRNA". It matches the Rfam family "Bacterial small subunit ribosomal RNA", at positions 790 to 1167 of the family's 1533-position model. The record is from RNAcentral.